This is a long non-coding RNA of Felis catus (domestic cat), 1247 nucleotides long. RefSeq lists it as uncharacterized. The transcript has 3 exons. The record is from RefSeq and is a predicted model, not a curated record. Lineage: Eukaryota; Metazoa; Chordata; Mammalia; Carnivora; Felidae.
UGAUUCCCUGAUGUCUCAGAGCCUCACCUCCAUCAAGCUGGCCUGUGACUAAGCUGGUGGGGACUGAGUCCACAGACUAAUGCACUUGGUGCUUUCGGGCUGAAGGGGAAGAAGCUGGACCAGGAGGAACCGUGCUGAGUUCGUGUUUUUCUGGGAGUAAAGUCUCCUCUUAAGAAGAUGGAGAAACUGAGUCCAGAGGUGUGGGAUGAUUUACCACAGCAUUGGCCUCUUAUCAGGGCAGCCCCAGGAUUCGGCUUCCCCGUGUUAUGGGUGAUGGAUAGCAGACGAGAUCUCCGAAGAGCAGACAAUUCGAGGCGGCUUAGGUACGCUUGAGUUUUGGAUGCAAGUAAGGAGCUUGUCGGUGUGAAAAUCCUGGGGCGGCUCCGAGUCGCCCAAGAGCAUCCUGUGAGAACCUGUACAUCAUCUCUACCUUUCCCCCUGAGAAAGGUGUCGGUCUAAUACUGUGCUUCGGACACCCCAGUGACACGGAUGCCUCGCUCUUCCUGGGAAAGCCGCGUCACAGCUGCAGGGGCCUGUCCACGUCGUUCCUCUAGCUGUUUAGUCUGAAUGUUUCCCCUUCUCAGUUUUGAUUUGCAGGUCCCUAAUGAUUAGCAUCUCUUCGUGUGCUUAUUGGCCUUUCGUAUGUCUCUCCUUUCGAGAAGUGCGUAUUCAAGUCCUUUGCUCACUUUUCACGGGGUUAUUUGUUUAUAUCCUUUAUCAGAUAGAGGAUUUGCAAAUGUUCUCUCCCAUCCUGUAGAAAGCCUUUUUACUCUGUUGAUCGUGUCUGUGGCUGCACAGAAGUUUUAAAGUUUGCUGUAGUCCAAUUUCUUUCUUUCUUUCAUUGCCUGUGCUUUUAAAACUCACUCUUUUUGGUCUGUAAGGCAAUCAGGGCUCGGAACACUGGCCCGGCUUGGAGAGAGGGGCCUUCUGCCGUGACUUACUGCCACAUACAUGGGGGGACAGAUGAUGACAGCCCAGGACUGUCCUCUCUCAGAAGCCGUGGACAAAAUUUGAGAUUCACGUUUGGUGUUUAUUUCCUCUCUGCUCAGCCAGCUCAGCCUUAUUGCAACUAUACGCUGUCAUCUUUCUUUCAAAAGCCAUACUUUUCUGGAUUUUGUGACCCCUUGCUUUCCUGAGAGGCACACAGCAUAGAGACCAUACUUGUAGACAACUUCAGGGUUUUUAUGGUGUCAAAUGGACAAACUAUGAGGGGCACCUGGGUGGCUCAGUCAGUUAAGCAACCGACU